AAGCCAUUGAAAAUUUGCCAGGAUUUAAUUAUCUCUAGAUUUUGAAAUGUGUUUUUUUAAACUAUAUAUUUAUGUAAUAAAAUUAUGAAAAGAAAAGUAGGGGUCAGCAGGCAAACUUUUAAUGGCGCUACAUGGAUAAAACCAAAAGAUUCCAAAUAUCUGGCAAAAAUAGAAAAAACAAGAGGAGUGAACAUGCUUAAGGAUGAAUGUUACUAAAUGUUAAUUAAGAUUUUAAUUCCCUAUUUGUAUGUUAUAAUUGUUUGCACGUAAACUUAAAUAAUACUAAAAGUUGUGUCUGUGAUAGUUGAGAGUUUUCAAUGAAGAGUUUAUUGCACUUUUUGUCUAGUCAUUUAAGAUGUAGAAUUGCCUAUCUAAUUACAAUACAGAUCCUGUGUCUCAAAUUUUGCCUGCAACAAUGUGUUCUACUUUCUGUUAUGGUAAUGAUUUCAUCAGCCAAUGAAAUUUUAGCUUUCAAGUUUUUGAAGGUGUAUAUCAGAUCCUGUGUCUCAAGUUUUGCCUGCAACAAUGAGUUCUACUUUCUGUUAUGGUAAUCAUUACAUCAGCCAAUGAAAUUUUAGCUUUCUGAUUUUUGAAGGUGUAUAUCGUUAUGAAAAACCCAGAGGACCCCAAAAGAUCUUUAUACCACAAAGUAGAACCAGAUUGUUGUCAAACAAAUGACAGACCCAAAAUCUGUAUUUCAAUCAGAUAAACGAAUAGCAGUAUUACAACUUGUUUCCACUAGAUAUUUGUUUCGUAGAUUUUUGACACUCAGCAGGGCUUAAUAGUAAAUUAUCAUAGAGUUAAACCAUGGUGCCAUGUAGUAAAUGUGAUUUUACAUUAUAGGGAUUUUUUUAUAUAUGUGAAAAUUAUUUCUUCUUUUUUUUGUACAAUUGAAGUAUUUUUUCUGCAAGUUGUUUAUUUCUUCUUAUGAAAAGAGUAAUACAUUAUUAAGUUUGAAAUACUCAAGCUUUAGAUUUAUUUAAUGUGUAUUUGUGAUAAAAUCAUGUGCUGUAUUGCUAGACUGUGAUAUUUAUAAUAGAAGCUAUAUUUAU
Molecule: long non-coding RNA, 1052 nt
Filed under: Mytilus galloprovincialis (Mediterranean mussel)
Lineage: Eukaryota; Metazoa; Mollusca; Bivalvia; Mytilida; Mytilidae
Source: RNAcentral